This 253-nucleotide ribosomal RNA is filed under the name uncultured bacterium. Its description in RNAcentral is "partial 16S ribosomal RNA". It matches the Rfam family "Bacterial small subunit ribosomal RNA", at positions 524 to 776 of the family's 1533-position model. The record is from RNAcentral.
UACGGGGGGUGCGAGCGUUGUCCGGAAUCACUGGGCGUAAAGAGCUCGUAGGCGGUUCGUCGCGUCGGCUGUGAAAUCCCGAGGCUCAACCUCGGGUCUGCAGUCGAUACGGGCGGACUGGAGUUCGGCAGGGGAGACUGGAAUUCCUGGUGUAGCGGUGAAAUGCGCAGAUAUCAGGAGGAACACCGGUGGCGAAGGCGGUUCUCUGGGCCUUACCUGACGCUGAGGAGCGAAAGCGUGGGGAGCGAACAGG